GGUUUACCUGUGUGACUGCGUACCUUUUGUAUAAUGGGUCAGCGACUUAUAUUCUGUAGCAAGGUUAACCGUAUAGGGGAGCCGGAGGGAAACCGAGUCUUAAUUGGGCGUUAAGUUGCAGGGUAUAGACCCGAAACCCGGUGAUCUAGCCAUGGGCAGGUUGAAGGUUGGGUAACACUAACUGGAGGACCGAACCGACUAAUGUUGAAAAAUUAGCGGAUGACCUGUGGCUGGGGGUGAAAGGCCAAUCAAACCGGGAGAUAGCUGGUUCUCCCCGAAAGCUAUUUAGGUAGCGCCUCGUGAAUUCAUCUCCGGGGGUAGAGCACUGUUUCGGCUAGGGGGCCAUCCCGGCUUACCAACCCGAUGCAAACUGCGAAUACCGGAGAAUGUUAUCACGGGAGACACACGGCGGGUGCUAACGUCCGUCGUGAAGAGGGAAACAACCCAGACCGCCAGCUAAGGUCCCAAAGUCAUGGUUAAGUGGGAAACGAUGUGGGAAGGCCCAGACAGCCAGGAUGUUGGCUUAGAAGCAGCCAUCAUUUAAAGAAAGCGUAAUAGCUCACUGGUCGAGUCGGCCUGCGCGGAAGAUGUAACGGGGCUAAACCAUGCACCGAAGCUGCGGCAGCGAACGUAUCACCCAAGACAACUUUGCGGAGUUGACGAUUGACGGAGCGAAGCGACGUCAAAGCGUUCAUUAAAGUCGAGUUGGCUUAGGGAUACGUUCGUUGGGUAGGGGAGCGUUCUGUAAGCCAGUGAAGGUGUGUCGUGAGGC
This 772-nucleotide ribosomal RNA is filed under the name Salmonella enterica subsp. enterica serovar Paratyphi B var. L(+) tartrate +. RNAcentral's name for it is "partial 23S ribosomal RNA". It matches the Rfam family "Bacterial large subunit ribosomal RNA", at positions 582 to 1269 of the family's 2925-position model. Lineage: Bacteria; Pseudomonadati; Pseudomonadota; Gammaproteobacteria; Enterobacterales; Enterobacteriaceae. The record is from RNAcentral.